GAUGAACGCUGGCGGCGUGCCUAAUACAUGCAAGUAGAACGCUGAAGGAGGAGCUUGCUCUUCUGGAUGAGUUGCGAACGGGUGAGUAACGCGUAGGUAACCUGCCUGGUAGCGGGGGAUAACUAUUGGAAACGAUAGCUAAUACCGCAUGACAACAGUUAUUGCAUGAUAACUGUUGAAAAGGGGCAACUGCUCCACUACCAGAUGGACCUGCGUUGUAUUAGCUAGUUGGUGAGGUAACGGCUCACCAAGGCGACGAUACAUAGCCGACCUGAGAGGGGGCUCGGCCACCCUGGGACUGAGACACGGCCCAGACUCCUACGGGAGGCAGCAGUAGGGAAUCUUCGGCAAUAGACGGAAGUCUGACCGAGCAACGCCGCGUGAGUGAAGAAGGUUUUCGGAUCGUAAAGCUCUGUUGUAAGAGAAGAACGAGUGUGAGAGUGGAAAGUUCACACUGUGACGGUAUCUUACCAGAAAGGGACGGCUAACUACGUG
This 495-nucleotide ribosomal RNA is filed under the name uncultured bacterium. Its description in RNAcentral is "partial 16S ribosomal RNA". It matches the Rfam family "Bacterial small subunit ribosomal RNA", at positions 28 to 507 of the family's 1533-position model. The record is from RNAcentral.